This 376-nucleotide unclassified non-coding RNA is filed under the name uncultured Gammaproteobacteria bacterium. RNAcentral describes it as "contains 16S-23S intergenic spacer region". The record is from RNAcentral. Lineage: Bacteria; Pseudomonadati; Pseudomonadota; Gammaproteobacteria.
UCCGACUUAACGUCGGCAGUCUCAUUAGAGUGCCCAACUGAAUGUGGCAACUAAUGACAAGGGUUGCGCUCGUUGCGGGACUUAACCCAACAUCUCACGACACGAGCUGACGACAGCCAUGCAGCACCUGUGUCCCGGUUCCCUUUCGGGCACCAAGGCAUCUCUGCCAAGUUCCGGGCAUGUCAAGGGUAGGUAAGGUUUUUCGCGUUGCAUCGAAUUAAUCCACAUAAUCCACCGCUUGUGCGGGUCCCCGUCAAUUCCCUUGAGUUUUAACCUUGCGGCCGUACUCCCCAGGCGGUCAACUUCACGCGUUAGCUACGGUACCCAGGAAUCGCUUCCCGAACACCCAGUUGACAUCGUUUAGGGCGUGGACUAC